Molecule: ribosomal RNA, 254 nt
Filed under: uncultured bacterium
Lineage: Bacteria
Description: partial 16S ribosomal RNA
Rfam family: Bacterial small subunit ribosomal RNA
Source: RNAcentral
UACGGGGGGGGCAAGCGUUGUUCGGAAUUACUGGGCGUAAAGGGCGCGUAGGCGGCCUGCUAAGUCGGACGUGAAAUCCCUCGGCUCAACCGGGGAACUGCGUCCGAUACUGGCGAGGCUUGAAUCCGGGAGAGGGAUGUGGAAUUCCAGGUGUAGCGGUGAAAUGCGUAGAUAUCUGGAGGAACACCAGAGGCGAAGGCGGCAUCCUGGACCGGUAUUGACGCUGAGGCGCGAAAGCUAGGGUAGCAAACGGG